GGGUUGUGAGGUUAAGCGACUAAGCGUACACGGUGGAUGCCCUGGCAGUCAGAGGCGAUGAAGGACGUGCUAAUCUGCGAAAAGCGUCGGUAAGGUGAUAUGAACCGUUAUAGCCGGCGAUGUCCGAAUGGGGAAACCCAGUGCAAUUCGUUGCACUAUCGUUAACUGAAUACAUAGGUUAACGAGGCGAACCGGGGGAACUGAAACAUCUAAGUACCCCGAGGAAAAGAAAUCAACCGAGAUUCCCCCAGUAGCGGCGAGCGAACGGGGAGCAGCCCAGAGUCUGAAUCAGCUUGUGUGUUAGUGGAACGGUCUGGAAAGUCCGACGGUACAGGGUGAUAGUCCCGUACACCAAAAUGCACAGGCUGUGAACUCGAAGAGUAGGGCGGGACACGUGGUAUCCUGUCUGAAUAUGGGGGGACCAUCCUCCAAGGCUAAAUACUCCUGACUGACCGAUAGUGAACCAGUACCGUGAGGGAAAGGCGAAAAGAACCCCGGCGAGGGGAGUGAAAAAGAACCUGAAACCGUGUACGUACAAGCAGUGGGAGCACCUUCGGGUGUGACUGCGUACCUUUUGUAUAAUGGGUCAGCGACUUAUAUUCUGUAGCAAGGUUAACCGUAUAGGGGAGCCGCAGGGAAACCGAGUCUUAACUGGGCGUUAAGUUGCAGGGUAUAGACCCGAAACCCGGUGAUCUAGCCAUGGGCAGGUUGAAGGUUGGGUAACACUAACUGGAGGACCGAACCGACUAAUGUUGAAAAAUUAGCGGAUGACUUGUGGCUGGGGGUGAAAGGCCAAUCAAACCGGGAGAUAGCUGGUUCUCCCCGAAAGCUAUUUAGGUAGCGCCUCGUGAACUCAUCUUCGGGGGUAGAGCACUGUUUCGGCUAGGGGGUCAUCCCGACUUACCAACCCGAUGCAAACUACGAAUACCGAAGAAUGUUAUCACGGGAGACACACGGCGGGUGCUAACGUCCGUCGUGAAGAGGGAAACAACCCAGACCGCCAGCUAAGGUCCCAAAGUCAUGGUUAAGUGGGAAACGAUGUGGGAAGGCACAGACAGCCAGGAUGUUGGCUUAGAAGCAGCCAUCAUUUAAAGAAAGCGUAAUAGCUCACUGGUCGAGUCGGCCUGCGCGGAAGAUGUAACGGGGCUAAACCAUGCACCGAAGCUGCGGCAGCGACACUAUGUGUUGUUGGGUAGGGGAGCGUUCUGUAAGCCUGCGAAGGUGUGCUGUGAGGCAUGCUGGAGGUAUCAGAAGUGCGAAUGCUGACAUAAGUAACGAUAAAGCGGGUGAAAAGCCCGCUCGCCGGAAGACCAAGGGUUCCUGUCCAACGUUAAUCGGGGCAGGGUGAGUCGACCCCUAAGGCGAGGCCGAAAGGCGUAGUCGAUGGGAAACAGGUUAAUAUUCCUGUACUUGGUGUUACUGCGAAGGGGGGACGGAGAAGGCUAUGUUAGCCGGGCGACGGUUGUCCCGGUUUAAGCAUGUAGGCUGAUUGUCCAGGCAAAUCCGGAUAAUCAAGGCUGAGGUGUGAUGACGAGGCACUACGGUGCUGAAGUAACAAAUGCCCUGCUUCCAGGAAAAGCCUCUAAGCAUCAGGUAACAUUAAAUCGUACCCCAAACCGACACAGGUGGUCAGGUAGAGAAUACCAAGGCGCUUGAGAGAACUCGGGUGAAGGAACUAGGCAAAAUGGUGCCGUAACUUCGGGAGAAGGCACGCUGGUGUGUAGGUGAAGUCCCUGCGGAUGGAGCUGAGACCAGUCGAAGAUACCAGCUGGCUGCAACUGUUUAUUAAAAACACAGCACUGUGCAAACACGAAAGUGGACGUAUACGGUGUGACGCCUGCCCGGUGCCGGAAGGUUAAUUGAUGGGGUUAUCCGUAAGGAGAAGCUCUUGAUCGAAGCCCCGGUAAACGGCGGCCGUAACUAUAACGGUCCUAAGGUAGCGAAAUUCCUUGUCGGGUAAGUUCCGACCUGCACGAAUGGCGUAAUGAUGGCCAGGCUGUCUCCACCCGAGACUCAGUGAAAUUGAACUCGCUGUGAAGAUGCAGUGUACCCGCGGCAAGACGGAAAGACCCCGUGAACCUUUACUAUAGCUUGACACUGAACAUUGAGCCUUGAUGUGUAGGAUAGGUGGGAGGCUUUGAAGCGUGGACGCCAGUCUGCGUGGAGCCAACCUUGAAAUACCACCCUUUAAUGUUUGAUGUUCUAACGUUGGCCCCUGACCGGGGUUGCGGACAGUGUCUGGUGGGUAGUUUGACUGGGGCGGUCUCCUCCCAAAGCGUAACGGAGGAGCACGAAGGUUAGCUAAUCCUGGUCGGACAUCAGGAGGUUAGUGCAAUGGCAUAAGCUAGCUUGACUGCGAGCGUGACGGCGCGAGCAGGUGCGAAAGCAGGUCAUAGUGAUCCGGUGGUUCUGAAUGGAAGGGCCAUCGCUCAACGGAUAAAAGGUACUCCGGGGAUAACAGGCUGAUACCGCCCAAGAGUUCAUAUCGACGGCGGUGUUUGGCACCUCGAUGUCGGCUCAUCACAUCCUGGGGCUGAAGUAGGUCCCAAGGGUAUGGCUGUUCGCCAUUUAAAGUGGUACGCGAGCUGGGUUUAGAACGUCGUGAGACAGUUCGGUCCCUAUCUGCCGUGGGCGCUGGAGAAUUGAGGGGGGCUGCUCCUAGUACGAGAGGACCGGAGUGGACGCAUCACUGGUGUUCGGGUUGUCAUGCCAAUGGCACUGCCCGGUAGCUAAAUGCGGAAGAGAUAAGUGCUGAAAGCAUCUAAGCACGAAACUUGCCCCGAGAUGAGUUCUCCCUGAGACUUUAAGUCUCCUGAAGGAACGUUAAAGACGAUGACGUUGAUAGGCCGGGUGUGUAAGCGCAGCGAUGCGUUGAGCUAACCGGUACUAAUGAACCGUGAGGCUUAACCUUACAACGCCGAAG
This 2923-nucleotide ribosomal RNA is filed under the name Klebsiella pneumoniae. Its description in RNAcentral is "bacterial LSU rRNA". It matches the Rfam family "Bacterial large subunit ribosomal RNA". Lineage: Bacteria; Pseudomonadati; Pseudomonadota; Gammaproteobacteria; Enterobacterales; Enterobacteriaceae. The record is from RNAcentral.